Molecule: ribosomal RNA, 429 nt
Filed under: uncultured bacterium
Lineage: Bacteria
Description: bacterial SSU rRNA
Rfam family: Bacterial small subunit ribosomal RNA
Source: RNAcentral
UGGGGAAUAUUGCGCAAUGGGCGAAAGCCUGACGCAGCCAUGCCGCGUGUGUGAAGAAGGCCCUAGGGUUGUAAAGCACUUUCAAUUGGGAGGAAAAGCUAACGACUAAUACUCGUUAGCCCUGACGUUACCUUUAGAAGAAGCACCGGCUAACUCCGUGCCAGCAGCCGCGGUAAUACGGAGGGUGCAAGCGUUAAUCGGAAUUACUGGGCGUAAAGCGCGCGUAGGCGGCUUUUUAAGUCGGAUGUGAAAGCCCCGGGCUCAACCUGGGAACUGCACCCGAUACUGGAAGGCUAGAGUGCGAGAGAGGGAGGUAGAAUUCCAUGUGUAGCGGUGAAAUGCGUAGAUAUAUGGAGGAAUACCAGUGGCGAAGGCGGCCUCCUGGCUCGACACUGACGCUGAGGUGCGAAAGCGUGGGGAGCAAACAGG